AUUGAACGCUGGCGGAAUGCUUUACACAUGCAAGUCGAACGGCAGCACGGACUUCGGUCUGGUGGCGAGUGGCGAACGGGUGAGUAAUGUAUCGGAACGUGCCCAGUCGUGGGGGAUAACGUAGUGAAAAUUACGCUAAUACCGCCUACGAUCUAUGGAUGAACGCGGGGGAUCGCAAGACCUCGCGCGGUUGGAGCGGACGAUAUCAGAUUAGGUAGUUGGUGGGGCAAAGGCCCACCAAGCCAACGAUCUGUAGCUGGUCUGAGAGGACGACCAGCCACACUGGAACUGAGACACGGUCCAGACUCCUACGGGAGGCAGCAGUGGGGAAUUUUGGACAAUGGGCGAAAGCCUGAUCCAGCCAUUCCGCGUGCAGGAUGAAGGCCCUCGGGUUGUAAACUGCUUUUGUACAGAACGAAAAGGUUUCUACUAAUACUAGGAGCUCAUGACGGUACUGUAAGAAUAAGCACCGGCUAACUACGUGCCAGCAGCCGCAGUAA
RNAcentral lists this ribosomal RNA (500 nucleotides) under uncultured bacterium. RNAcentral's name for it is "partial 16S ribosomal RNA". It matches the Rfam family "Bacterial small subunit ribosomal RNA", at positions 30 to 523 of the family's 1533-position model. The record is from RNAcentral.